Molecule: ribosomal RNA, 407 nt
Filed under: uncultured bacterium
Lineage: Bacteria
Description: partial 16S ribosomal RNA
Rfam family: Bacterial small subunit ribosomal RNA
Source: RNAcentral
UGGGGAAUAUUGCACAAUGGGCGAAAGCCUGAUGCAGCGACGCCGCGUGAGGGAUGAAGGCCUUCGGGUUGUAAACCUCUUUCAGCAGGGAAGAAGCGCAAGUGACGGUACCUGCAGAAGAAGCGCCGGCUAACUACGUGCCAGCAGCCGCGGUAAUACGUAGGGCGCAAGCGUUGUCCGGAAUUAUUGGGCGUAAAGAGCUCGUAGGCGGUUUGUCGCGUCUGGGGUGAAAACUCGAGGCUCAACCGCGAGCUUGCAUCGGGUACGGGCAGACUAGAGUGCGGUAGGGGAGACUGGAAUUCCUGGUGUAGCGGUGGAAUGCGCAGAUAUCAGGAGGAACACCGAUGGCGAAGGCAGGUCUCUGGGCCGCAACUGACGCUGAGGAGCGAAAGCAUGGGGAGCGAACA